GAGGGUAUAGCUCAAGUGGUAGAGCGCAUGCUUAGCAUGCACAAGGUCCUGGGUUCAAUCUCCUGUACCUCCU
RNAcentral lists this transfer RNA (73 nucleotides) under Camelus bactrianus (Bactrian camel). It matches the Rfam family "tRNA". From Rfam's summary of the family: Transfer RNA (tRNA) molecules are approximately 80 nucleotides in length. The record is from Rfam by way of RNAcentral. Lineage: Eukaryota; Metazoa; Chordata; Mammalia; Artiodactyla; Camelidae. RNAcentral also lists the same sequence under 3 other names.